Long non-coding RNA from Canis lupus familiaris (dog), 2309 nucleotides. RefSeq lists it as uncharacterized. Lineage: Eukaryota; Metazoa; Chordata; Mammalia; Carnivora; Canidae. The record is from RefSeq and is a predicted model, not a curated record. The transcript is spliced from 3 exons.
GGACAGCAUGUGGCUCUUGAUCUCAGGGUCAUGAGUCUGAGUCCCAAGUUGGGCGUAGAGAUUACUUAAAUAAAUAAAUAAACUUUAAAAAAUAAUAAGAAAAUAAAAAUGCAAGAACAGGAGUGUUGUUCUCCUUUCCCUCGCUCUCCCCAGCUACCCUGACCACAUCUUGAAUAGCAUCCAAAUCGGAUCCUGUGGGGUCCAGGGCAGCAGCUGGGGCCUCGGCCAUGGUGUGCCCUAAACUAUAGGUGAGUCGGGGGGGAGACGUGGGGCAGAGGGCCAGAGUCAUGGUUCUUGGAGGACUGCUGGCUAAAUUGCCUUAUUCCCUCCUGCCUCUGGACUUUGGCAUUACUCCUCAUCUAAGGAAAAUGUAACCAAAAAAAUGUAAGGACCAGUUCAUUCAGUUCCUGGAUUAUCUUUCCUGGGGGCUCAGUCUAAAAAUUUUCAGAGGUACAUUUAUCUUGGGUUUUAAUUGUGUGUUAAUAACAAUAGCUGUCACAUGUCAAGUAUAAACCACACCUCUGGACAUGCCAGUUAGUGGCAGAGUUGCCAUUAAUGUCCUCAACUCUACCUACUGUGGUUCUGACUCUUACCACAGCUCUGGGAGGGAAGUGGUGUAAGGCUCAUGUGACAAAUAAGAAAUGGCAGCCCAGAGAAAUUAGGUGGCCAUACCCACACGGGGAUUAGUUGUGGGCCAGGGAAUGGAAUCCAGAUUGUUUGACUAUGAAGCUCGUUCCAGGACAGUGGAAUGCCCUCCCUCGGUGGGAGCACACUCUACUCACUUGGCAGUGGGGUGAACUCCACGGCUGAUGUGCUGGUGACCUUGCUGGGGUCCAGCUCCACACGGUGGUAUUCGAAGAUGGUCCUUCGCCGAGAUUCUGAAACAGAGGCAGAGCCUGUCAUCAGGAGCAUCUCACAGCCAGAGGCCUCUGAGGCUUGUACCUGGAGCCUGACAGUCUUGGAAUCAAUGCCUCCUAUUAACCCAAGAUUGAACCCCAGUUGGUCUGGUGUUAAAAAGUUCCUGUGCUGCAUGAUGGAAGUGUCAGCCCCUGAAACAUUCUCAAACACAGAAUGUCCUGGAAACAUUCUAUGCAGUGAAUGAGUCCUGACUGUGGAAUUUGCUGAUUUCCAUGCUGUAAAUACUUCCUGCGCUGAUCUCAAGCUACCAAUUUGGAGUCACUGAACACAGCAUUGGGAAGAGACGUGGUCACUCUACUCUUGUGACUGCACAAGGGUCCCUGGCACACCGUAUUUCUUCCUGGUUUCCUUACAGUAGUACUCCAUAUCCGCGACUUCACUUUCCUGGUUUGUGACCCAUGGUCAACCACGCCACUCACCUCCCUCCAUCUCCUCAUGUAGGCAUUUUAUCAUCUCACAUCAGCACAAAAGAAGGAACUCUUCAUAUCCCUGCCGGAGUUAUUUGCUUUUGGAUUAUCUCGCCAACAUCUGGGGCUCACCCAAGGAUGAUGACGUCCAUCUGCAUGACCAACAGAUCCCUCCGGAACCAAGACAGAGGCCGCCCCAAAGCCACAUUUCUGGCAUCUUGAGACAUUCUGUUUUGCUCUCUGCCUCCAUUUGUCAAAGAUUCAAAAAUACUAAGGUCCAGACACAGAAAGCCCUGAUGCCCAAACAAGAAAUGUUAACAGCUCAAAAGAGAGGUUUGCAUGUCCCAUUUUGUUUCAAAACCAGACAUCAGUGGGGAAGAGUUGGAUUGGUCAGAAGAAAUCAAACUGACAAGCUCUACCACGAACUGCCCUCCAAAAUGGGUGGUUACGGUAUAAAAAAUAUAUAAGAUAGUAGUUUCAGGAUAAGUUUUCAAUUUUCUCGUUCAUGUCUUUCUUUGCUCAUUUGACUAUUCAUUCAAUAAUCAUAAGUUGAGCCCCAGCAGGGGACCUCAGAGGUGGACACAAUGAGGGUCCUGUACCCCAAGGGGCAGGCCACAGUCUGAAGCCCUGAGAAAUUAAAUACUCAUUAACUGGUUUCACUGAUUCAGAACCUCUGUCAGUUUUGACAUUGGCCACACUAAAAUUGCUUGUAUACUGUCCAUGAAAGAAGGAGGUUUUUAAAAGAUGAGAUUUGAUUUAUUUAUUAGAGAGAGAGAGAGAGAGAGAGAGAGAGAUAGCAAGAGAGAGCACAAGCAGAAGAGAAGGAGAAGCAGGCUCCCUACUAAGUAGGGAGCAACAUGGGGCUCCUUUCCAGGAGCCCAGGAUCAUGACUUGAGCCAAAGGCAAAUGCUUAAUCAACUGAGCCAUCCAGGUAUCCCAAGAAAGACUUCAUUUUUGUUUUUGUUUUUGUUUUAAGAUUUUAUU